UCCCUGGAGAUGGUGAAACUGCAGCUGGACACAGCCACGAGCAAGUGGAUCCGGCUGGACCCGCCUUUGAACCAGGGUUUGGACCAGUGGCCUGCAGAGACCUUUUCUAACUAAAUUCCUCCUGCUGGGUGAUUCCUGUCUCCUGCAGGGCCACGUUGCUCCCCUUUCUCCCCCCUUCCCCGCUCUGCUGGCCCUCAGCAAUGACACAGGGAACACAAAUCACGCUGUGACGGAGCGAGAGGAGCCGGGAAUGAGCGACCAUCCGCCAGAAAUGAGAAAAUGGAAAAUAGAAAAAGAAGACAAAAAUGCCCCAAUUCUUUCAAAAUAGCUCCUGGAGGAUUUCCACCCUCAAGUAGAGCUUUUGUGCCUCAGUAAAAACCACAAAGGGUGGCUGAUCCAGAUGUGCAGCUCGAGACUAAAGGGAAUGUUCUUCCUCCCUGGGAAUAAACACAGGGAUUUGGGGGGUUUAAUGCAGUGAAGGGAAUGUGUUUUGGGCAUUUUGGCUCAGCACAGCUUGGCAUUACAGGUAUCCACAGAGGCAAUUCAGAAGGAUGCUCCAGUUUAGACUUGCCCCCCCGUGGAAUUACCCACCAGGUGCAGCUGGUCCAUGUUUGCAGAGGCCUGACCACAGGAUCCCAGAAUGGUUUGGGUUGGAAGGGACCUCGAAGACCAUCUUGUUUUUCAGGCAGGACCUGAGAGUGAGAGCACUUUGGGGUUUUGUUUUUUUGGAGGUUGGGGCAGGAGGGAUGCUCAGUUGAGGCUUUAACAGUUCUGGAAAGAAACCAAACCCCUUUAGUCCUCAGAGGUGCAGUGGACUGAGAUCCCCUACAAUUCUCCCCGUGGAUUGGCACCUUCAGCACCUGGACCUGAUGGGAACAUCCCAGGAGAUGCUGGAGGCGCUGCUUAAAGAAGGUGCCUCUGCUUUGAACUCCUUCCUCAAUUAAAUCAUGGAAUACCCUGAGUUGGAAGGGACCCACGAGGAUCACUGAGUCAUGAAGCAUCAACAUUCCAGACUUGGGGGUGAUGGGGUCCUGUUGUGUAGGAAACUGCCUCCAAUCCCUUCAGCUGUGUCUGAGGUGAUCUCUUUCCCUUCCUGACCUCCAGAGAUUAUUCUGGAAAAACAAUUCUGAAGAUGCCAUGGCAGGAGGAAUAAAAAUAGCCCAGCAGAUGAGAUGAGCCGGUCUCCCUGGCAGUACAAAUACUUCCAAGCGCUUCUGGUGCAGGGAAAAUGAAGCCUGUAGCAGGAAACACAGGGAAUCCCUAUACAAAAGAAGGAAAUUUGGGGAGAAUGACUCAUCUGGGAGAGGAAACUAGGUGCUGGGGCUGGCUGUUAGCAAGGCAAGGGUCCCCCAGAGCAUCAGGCUGUAAGUUGAGCAGGGUGACAUCCCAGUACAGGUGACAUCCCAGCACAGGUGACAUUCCUGGCUGAGCAGGGCUGCUGGGAUCUGUCUCCCAGGGGGUUCUCCAGGUGCUCCAGCUGAGGAAUGGAGUGGGAUGAAAAUGGAGAAUGCCUUCAAAUGCCAGCGUGGGAACUGCCUGCACCUGCACGGCAUCUCGAGGUGAUUUAUGAGGGAAGCCCAGUUUAAGCCUCCAGUGCUGGAAUCUGUUGUUCCCGGGAGGAGUGAUGACAGAAACAGAACUUGCUGGCUCCUGCAGCCUCCUGUGGGCCCACAGUAAGCAAAUUCCCUUCUGAUCCAUUUUUCCCUUCCCAGCCAUCCCCCCUGUCGUGUUAGCAGAGCUGCCUUCCUUUCCCAGGGCUCUCCACC
Molecule: long non-coding RNA, 1766 nt
Organism: Myiozetetes cayanensis
Lineage: Eukaryota; Metazoa; Chordata; Aves; Passeriformes; Tyrannidae
Exons: 3
Source: RefSeq, a predicted model, not a curated record